Molecule: unclassified non-coding RNA, 292 nt
Filed under: uncultured Diversispora
Lineage: Eukaryota; Fungi; Glomeromycota; Glomeromycetes; Diversisporales; Diversisporaceae
Description: sequence contains ITS2
Source: RNAcentral
AACGCAAAUUGUACUUUCCAGUAAUCUGGGGAGUAUGCUUGGUUGAGGGUCAUUAAAAUAACAUUCGUGAUUUUUUUUGCGGAUUUGAGUUUUCCAGUAUUUAUUAUUAUAAAUAUAUGUUGGUGACUUUAAAAUUAUUUAUAACUUGGUAAAAGUUGAAAACGUGCUAUAUAUGUGGUUCGCUGACAACUUGUCCAUCUUUAUAUAUUAUGCGCGCACUCUAUUUUUUUGUCUGUACGAGCAUAUAUUUUUUUAUGACCUCAGCUCAAGCAAGAAUACCCGCUGAACUUAA